This 73-nucleotide transfer RNA is filed under the name Nocardioidaceae bacterium. RNAcentral's name for it is "tRNA-Leu". It matches the Rfam family "tRNA". Rfam says of the family: Transfer RNA (tRNA) molecules are approximately 80 nucleotides in length. Their secondary structure includes four short double-helical elements and three loops (D, anti-codon, and T loops). The record is from RNAcentral. Lineage: Bacteria; Bacillati; Actinomycetota; Actinomycetes; Propionibacteriales; Nocardioidaceae.
GCUCCCGUAGCCCAACGGCAGAGGCAGGUGGCUUAAAACCGCCGCAGUGUGGGUUCGACUCCCACCGGGAGCA